Molecule: transfer RNA, 74 nt
Filed under: Scardovia wiggsiae
Lineage: Bacteria; Bacillati; Actinomycetota; Actinomycetes; Bifidobacteriales; Bifidobacteriaceae
Also listed under: 1 other name
Description: tRNA-Thr
Rfam family: tRNA
About the family: Transfer RNA (tRNA) molecules are approximately 80 nucleotides in length. Their secondary structure includes four short double-helical elements and three loops (D, anti-codon, and T loops). Further hydrogen bonds mediate the characteristic L-shaped molecular structure. tRNAs have two regions of fundamental functional importance: the anti-codon, which is responsible for specific mRNA codon recognition, and the 3' end, to which the tRNAs corresponding amino acid is attached (by aminoacyl-tRNA synthetases). tRNAs cope with the degeneracy of the genetic code in two manners: having more than one tRNA (with a specific anti-codon) for a particular amino acid; and 'wobble' base-pairing, i.e. permitting non-standard base-pairing at the 3rd anti-codon position.
Source: RNAcentral
GCCCCCCUAGCUCAGCUGGCUAGAGCAGCUGAUUUGUAAUCAGCAGGUCGACGGUUCGAAUCCGCCGGGGGGCU